GCUCAGGAUGAACGCUAGCUACAGGCUUAACACAUGCAAGUCGAGGGGUAGCAGGGUAGCAAUACCGCUGACGACCGGCGCACGGGUGGGUAACACGUAUCCAACCUUCCCAUAACUCGGGGAUAGCCUUUCGAAAGAAAGAUUAAUACCCGAUAGUACUUAUAUAAGGCAUCUUAAAUAAGUUAAAGAUUUAUUGGUUAUGGAUGGGGAUGCGUUCCAUUAGAUAGUUGGUGAGGUAACGGCUCACCAAGUCUUCGAUGGAUAGGGGUUCUGAGAGGAAGGUCCCCCACAUUGGUACUGAGACACGGACCAAACUCCUACGGGAGGCAGCAGUGAGGAAUAUUGGUCAAUGGGCGAGAGCCUGAACCAGCC
RNAcentral lists this ribosomal RNA (372 nucleotides) under uncultured Bacteroidales bacterium. RNAcentral describes it as "bacterial SSU rRNA". It matches the Rfam family "Bacterial small subunit ribosomal RNA", at positions 22 to 393 of the family's 1533-position model. Lineage: Bacteria; Pseudomonadati; Bacteroidota; Bacteroidia; Bacteroidales. The record is from RNAcentral.